This 366-nucleotide ribosomal RNA is filed under the name uncultured bacterium. RNAcentral's name for it is "bacterial SSU rRNA". It matches the Rfam family "Bacterial small subunit ribosomal RNA", at positions 527 to 898 of the family's 1533-position model. The record is from RNAcentral.
GAAGGUGGCAAGCGUUAUUCGGAUUUACUGGGCGUACAGGGAGCGUAGGCGGUUUGGUAAGCCCUCUGUGAAAUCUUCAGGCUUAACCUGGAGAAGUCGGAGGGGACUGCUGGGCUAGAGGACGGGAGAGGAGCGCGGAAUUCCCGGUGUAGCGGUGAAAUGCGUAGAGAUCGGGAGGAAGCCCGGUGGCGAAGGCGGCGCUCUGGAACGUUUCUGACGCUGAGGCUAGAAAGCGUGGGGAGCAAACAGGAUUAGAUACCCUGGUAGUCCACGCCUUAAACUAUGAAUACUAAGUGUCGGCGGUUUACCGCCGGUGCCGCAGCUAACGCAUUAAGUAUUCCGCCUGGGAAGUACGGCCGCAAGAAA